CCGGGCUCAACCUGGGAACUGCAUUCGAAACUGGCAGGCUUGAGUCUUGUAGAGGGGGGUAGAAUUCCAGGUGUAGCGGUGAAAUGCGUAGAGAUCUGGAGGAAUACCGGUGGCGAAGGCGGCCCCCUGGACAAAGACUGACGCUCAGGUGCGAAAGCGUGGGGAGCAAACAGGAUUAGAUACCCUGGUAGUCCACGCCGUAAACGAUGUCUACUUGGAGGUUGUGCCCUUGAGGCGUGGCUUCCGGAGCUAACGCGUUAAGUAGACCGCCUGGGGAGUACGGCCGCAAGGUUAAAACUCAAAUGAAUUGACGGGGGCCCGCACAAGCGGUGGAGCAUGUGGUUUAAUUCGAUGCAACGCGAAGAACCUUACCUGGUCUUGACAUCCACAGAACUUUCCAGAGAUGGAUUGGUGCCUUCGGGAACUGUGAGACAGGUGCUGCAUGGCUGUCGUCAGCUCGUGUUGUGAAAUGUUGGGUUAAGUCCCGCAACGAGCGCAACCCUUAUCCUUUGUUGCCAGCGGUCCGGCCGGGAACUCAAAGGAGACUGCCAGUGAUAAACUGGAGGAAGGUGGGGAUGACGUCAAGUCAUCAUGGCCCUUACGACCAGGGCUACACACGUGCUACAAUGGCGCAUACAAAGAGAAGCGACCUCGCGAGAGCAAGCGGACCUCAUAAAGUGCGUCGUAGUCCGGAUUGGAGUCUGCAACUCGACUCCAUGAAGUCGGAAUCGCUAGUAAUCGUGGAUCAGAAUGCCACGGUGAAUACGUUCCCGGGCCUUGUACACACCGCCCGUCACACCAUGGGAGUGGGUUGCAAAAGAAGUAGGUAGCUUAACCUUCGGGAGGGCGCUUACCACUUUGUGAUUCAUGACUGGGGUGAAGUCGUAACAAGGUAACCGUAGGGGAACCUGCGGUUGGA
This 919-nucleotide ribosomal RNA is filed under the name Salmonella enterica. Its description in RNAcentral is "bacterial SSU rRNA". It matches the Rfam family "Bacterial small subunit ribosomal RNA", at positions 603 to 1522 of the family's 1533-position model. Lineage: Bacteria; Pseudomonadati; Pseudomonadota; Gammaproteobacteria; Enterobacterales; Enterobacteriaceae. The record is from RNAcentral.